GACGAACGCUGGCGGUGUGCUUAACACAUGCAAGUCGAACGGUAAGGCCCUUUCGGGGGUACACGAGUGGCGAACGGGUGAGUAACACGUGAGCAACCUGCCCUCAUCUCUGGGAUAACAGUCGGAAACGGUUGCUAAUACUGGAUAUGAGCUUGCAAGGCAUCUUGUGGUUUGGAAAGAUUUUUUUUGGUUGGGGAUGGACUCGCGGCCUAUCAGCUUGUUGGUGAGGUAGUGGCUCACCAAGGCUUCGACGGGUAGCCGGCCUGAGAGGGCGACCGGCCACAUUGGGACUGAGAUACGGCCCAAACUCCUACGGGAGGCAGCAGUGGGGAAUAUUGCACAAUGGACGGAAGUCUGAUGCAGCAACGCCGCGUGCGGGAUGACGGCCUUCGGGUUGUAAACCGCUUUCAAUUGUGACGAAGCUUUUUUGUGACGGUAGCAGUAGAAGAAGCACCGGCUAACUACGUG
RNAcentral lists this ribosomal RNA (468 nucleotides) under uncultured bacterium. RNAcentral describes it as "partial 16S ribosomal RNA". It matches the Rfam family "Bacterial small subunit ribosomal RNA", at positions 28 to 507 of the family's 1533-position model. The record is from RNAcentral.